This is a long non-coding RNA of Nicotiana tabacum (common tobacco), 976 nucleotides long. RefSeq lists it as uncharacterized. NCBI's taxonomy places the organism in Eukaryota, Viridiplantae, Streptophyta, Magnoliopsida, Solanales, Solanaceae. The record is from RefSeq and is a predicted model, not a curated record.
UCUGAAUAUCAGAGCUAUACUUGUCUUUCAGCUUCUGGAGCUGAGUCUUUAACUCAUCUGUAGCCUGCCGUUAAAUUCAAGAAAGAUUGAAACUGCAGUGUUUCUCUUUAAACUUUCAAGCUGCUGAGUUAAUCUGUUGCGGAAAUUUUGCACGAGAAUUUUGUUUCUCUCCUCCCUAUUGUUGCUUUUCUCUAUUUUAUAAGAAACAUAAGUUAGAAGAAGAAACUGAUGCUAGCCAGAUAAAGAACAUAAGAAAUAGUAAGACGAACCAAUUUUGGCGAACAAGGUGGAUAUCUCUGAUUCUGCAUUCUCUACUUCAGCUUGAAGCUCAAGUGCUUUAUCAGUCAUUGCCUUUUCUAAAUGACGAGAGGAUUCACGAAUACUUUGAUUCAUCUUUGUAUUUCAAUGAGAUGCUUGGGACACACUUCAGAGUUUAACUCACCAGAUUUAAUGAGAUCAAAUACCAGAUGAUCCUUCUCUUGAACCGUCUCUUUCGCUCGACUAUUUUGAGCUUCUAGAUCAUUGAAAGCUUGUUCAGCUUCCUUGAGUUCUCUCUGCCAUAAAACAGAGGCUGGAAAGUUUAGUUAUCUUCAACUUUCUAGCUAUCUUAAUUUAAAAAAAGAGACUUGGGAAGUAACUUGUUCAAGUAACAUUCCACCUGAGUUCUCUCAAGUUCUUCGGUUAAAUUUGCUGUCAGUUGUCGCUGAUAAUCAUAAAGAUCCUGAAGCUCUCUCAGUUUCUGCUCAGAAACUGUGACUUCUCAAUGAUCUUGGAAUAAAUUAGGACUUGCAUAAGCUGCCUACACGACAGACCAGAUCAAGAGUUGCACUCCAGAAAUAUUGAUGGGAAAAGCACCUUGUGAGCUGCCUCUUCACUCAAGUAGCGGUCUUGUGAAUGAUCAACCAAAGCAUUGAUGACUCUGCCCAAAGUAAGCAAGCUCUUAUUUAUCUCACCAGCCUCUCUUGCUCUUCCCUGG